Molecule: transfer RNA, 91 nt
Filed under: Clostridiales bacterium UBA8153
Lineage: Bacteria; Bacillati; Bacillota; Clostridia; Eubacteriales; Clostridiales Family XVII. Incertae Sedis
Description: tRNA-Ser
Rfam family: tRNA
About the family: Transfer RNA (tRNA) molecules are approximately 80 nucleotides in length. Their secondary structure includes four short double-helical elements and three loops (D, anti-codon, and T loops).
Source: RNAcentral
GGAGGGAUGUCCGAGAUGGCUGAAGGAGCACGCCUGGAGAGCGUGUAGAUGGGUAACUGUCUCGUGGGUUCAAAUCCCACUCCCUCCGCCA